Molecule: ribosomal RNA, 700 nt
Filed under: uncultured Actinomycetales bacterium
Lineage: Bacteria; Bacillati; Actinomycetota; Actinomycetes; Actinomycetales
Description: bacterial SSU rRNA
Rfam family: Bacterial small subunit ribosomal RNA
Source: RNAcentral
ACACAUGCAAGUCGAACGGAAAGGCCCUGCUUGCAGGGUACUCGAGUGGCGAACGGGUGAGUAACACGUGGGUGAUCUGCCCUGCACUUCGGGAUAAGCUUGGGAAACUGGGUCUAAUACCGAAUAGGACCGCACUUUAGUGUGUGUGGUGGAAAGUUUUUUCGGUGUAGGAUGAGCUCGCGGCCUAUCAGCUUGUUGGUGGGGUAAUGGCCUACCAAGGCGGCGACGGGUAGCCGGCCUGAGAGGGUGUACGGCCACAUUGGGACUGAGAUACGGCCCAGACUCCUACGGGAGGCAGCAGUGGGGAAUAUUGCACAAUGGGCGCAAGCCUGAUGCAGCGACGCCGCGUGGGGGAUGAAGGCCUUCGGGUUGUAAACUCCUUUCGCUAGGGACGAAGCUUUUUGUGACGGUACCUAGAUAAGAAGCACCGGCUAACUACGUGCCAGCAGCCGCGGUAAUACGUAGGGUGCGAGCGUUGUCCGGAAUUACUGGGCGUAAAGGGCUCGUAGGUGGUUUGUCGCGUCGUCUGUGAAAUUCUGGGGCUUAACUCCGGGCGUGCAGGCGAUACGGGCAUAACUUGAGUGCUGUAGGGGUAACUGGAAUUCCUGGUGUAGCGGUGAAAUGCGCAGAUAUCAGGAGGAACACCGAUGGCGAAGGCAGGUUACUGGGCAGUUACUGACGCUGAGGAGCGAAAGCAUGG